This 270-nucleotide ribosomal RNA is filed under the name uncultured archaeon. Its description in RNAcentral is "partial 16S ribosomal RNA". It matches the Rfam family "Archaeal small subunit ribosomal RNA", at positions 477 to 747 of the family's 1478-position model. The record is from RNAcentral.
CAGCCCCUCGAGUGGUGGGGAUGAUUAUUUGGCCUAAAGCGUCCGUAGCCGGCCGAGUAAGUCCCCCGUUAAAUCCAGCGUCUCAAGCGUUGGACUGCGGGAGAUACUACUUGGCUAGAGAGUGGGAGAGGUCAGCGGUAUUCUGGGGGUAGGGGCGAAAUCCUUUGAUCCCCGGAGGACCACCAGUGGCGAAGGCUGCUGACUAGAACACGUCUGACGGUCAGGGACGAAAGCUGGGGUAGCGAGCCGGAUUAGAUACCCGAGAAGUCC